GCCUCCUCUUGGGAAGCAGAGUUCGGGCGAUCUAAAGAAAAGUGCUGGCAUUUUUCAGACACCAGCAUAACAAUAAUUUUCCUCUGGAACAACACUGGGGAAAAAAUCUGUCAUCACUGGUUCUUGGAAAGGGAAAAGUCCUACACACAGUGGUUCCCACCAGCACAAGUAUUUCUGAGGCUGUGAAACUAACUCUACCUAAAGCUGAGUUUGAGGAGGGUAGCAACGUAAACAGAAGUAAGAAGUCCAAAAGAGAUGGCAACAGUUCCACCAACUCAUUUCAGGUUGAAUAAACUUCCACAUUGAGGCUGAGCAUUGAUCAAAGCAGUCUCUGAUGAUGUCAUGCUCUGAAUUGCAGAUGACCACCUCCUGACAUCAGAACAAAAUUAUAGACUAUAUAAUGCAGAGACUGCAUUUCU
This is a long non-coding RNA of Chelonia mydas (Green sea turtle), 419 nucleotides long. RefSeq lists it as uncharacterized. The transcript has 4 exons. The record is from RefSeq and is a predicted model, not a curated record. NCBI's taxonomy places the organism in Eukaryota, Metazoa, Chordata, Testudines, Cheloniidae.